CACAUGUGGUACACUUACAUACAGGCAAAAACAUUUACACAAUAAAAUAAAAAGAAACAUAAUAUUUUUAUGUCUGUGCAUUAUCUAGCCAGCAAGAGAAGCUUUGCAAUAAGGAUACCAUUUAGCAGAUGGAGCGGUUUCUGUUGGACACUAAGUACUGCUACAAAA
Nannospalax galili (Upper Galilee mountains blind mole rat) is the source of this 168-nucleotide non-coding RNA. The record is from RefSeq and is a predicted model, not a curated record. Lineage: Eukaryota; Metazoa; Chordata; Mammalia; Rodentia; Spalacidae.